UUCUAGAGUAUGGCUAUAGCUCAAAGAGAGAGAGCUGAGACGUCAACUGAUUGAGAAGGAGCAGCUACAGUGACUUCAGUAUGUGGACACAAGAAGUUAGCAAAACACUGAUGAAAAAGAGGGAGACUGUUUUGGAAGAAACUGAAAUCCCAAUAAGUCAUGCUAUCCAUUGUGAUAUCCAAUGCUGAGCAUCAAUCUAAAGACCAGACCGACCCUUUGGAAAGAGAUGUACAAAAAAACAGAGAGCCAGGGGCACUGGAACUUUACCCAUUUUUGGCAGAAAUGAAACUGAGGUGAUGCCCAAUACUGAGAACCGAUCUAUGAUGGAGCCUUUGGGGAGAGAAGAAUAAAACCUGGAGAAUCAACAAACUGAAAUUCUACAUUUUUAUAACAAAGAAAAAAGCAGAGGUAACAGAAGCCCCUGAUGUUUCCCUAGGCUCCCUCCCACCCACCAGGCAUCGCCUCUAUCUUUUUUUUUUCUUGUGUGAUACUGCCGGAUGCUCUACAGUGCUUCCUAUCAGCACUGCUAAGCUUGAUCACAUUCUAAAUGGUGGGUUCUAGAAUCUUUUUG
RNAcentral lists this long non-coding RNA (571 nucleotides) under Homo sapiens (human). RNAcentral's name for it is "HSALNT0153399". Lineage: Eukaryota; Metazoa; Chordata; Mammalia; Primates; Hominidae. The record is from RNAcentral.